Molecule: ribosomal RNA, 494 nt
Filed under: uncultured bacterium
Lineage: Bacteria
Description: partial 16S ribosomal RNA
Rfam family: Bacterial small subunit ribosomal RNA
Source: RNAcentral
AUUGAACGCUGGCGGCAUGCUUUACACAUGCAAGUCGAACGGCAGCGGGGAGGAGCUUGCUUCUCUGCCGGCGAGUGGCGAACGGGUGAGUAAUACAUCGGAACGUGUCGAGAAGAGGGGGAUAACCACCCGAAAGGGUGGCUAAUACCGCAUAAAUUCUGAGGAAGAAAGCUGGGGACCUGGGAAUAGGCCUAGCGCUUUUUGAGCGGCCGAUGUCGGAUUAGCUAGUUGGUGAGGUAAAGGCUCACCAAGGCGAAGAUCUGUAGCGGGUCUGAGAGGAUGAUCGGCCACACUGGGACUGAGACACGGCCCAGACUCCUACGGGAGGCAGCAGUGGGGAAUGUUGGACAGUGGGGGCAACCCUGAUCCAGCCAUGCCGCGUGUAUGAAGAAGGCCUUAGGGUUGUAAAGUACUUUUGUUAGGGAAGAAAAGUCAGCUGUGAAGAAUGGCUGAUACUGACGGUACCUAAAGAAUAAGCACCGGCUAACUACGUG